This 795-nucleotide ribosomal RNA is filed under the name bacterium 1a1k-1-530f. Its description in RNAcentral is "bacterial SSU rRNA". It matches the Rfam family "Bacterial small subunit ribosomal RNA", at positions 556 to 1349 of the family's 1533-position model. The record is from RNAcentral.
GGGCGUAAAGCGUGCGUAGGCGGUCUUUUUUUAAGUCGGAUGUGAAAUCCCCGAGCUUAACUUGGGAAUUGCAUUCGAUACUGGGAAGCUAGAGUAUGGGAGAGGAUGGUAGAAUUCCAGGUGUAGCGGUGAAAUGCGUAGAGAUCUGGAGGAAUACCGAUGGCGAAGGCAGCCAUCUGGCCUAAUACUGACGCUGAGGUACGAAAGCAUGGGGAGCAAACAGGAUUAGAUACCCUGGUAGUCCAUGCCGUAAACGAUGUCUACUAGCCGUUGGGGCCUUUGAGGCUUUAGUGGCGCAGCUAACGCGAUAAGUAGACCGCCUGGGGAGUACGGUCGCAAGACUAAAACUCAAAUGAAUUGACGGGGGCCCGCACAAGCGGUGGAGCAUGUGGUUUAAUUCGAUGCAACGCGAAGAACCUUACCUGGCCUUGACAUACUAGAAACUUUCCAGAGAUGGAUUGGUGCCUUCGGGAAUCUAGAUACAGGUGCUGCAUGGCUGUCGUCAGCUCGUGUCGUGAGAUGUUGGGUUAAGUCCCGCAACGAGCGCAACCCUUUUCCUUACUUGCCAGCAUUUCGGAUGGGAACUUUAAGGAUACUGCCAGUGACAAACUGGAGGAAGGCGGGGACGACGUCAAGUCAUCAUGGCCCUUACGGCCAGGGCUACACACGUGCUACAAUGGUCGGUACAAAGGGUUGCUACCUAGCGAUAGGAUGCUAAUCUCAAAAAGCCGAUCGUAGUCCGGAUUGGAGUCUGCAACUCGACUCCAUGAAGUCGAAUCGCUAGUAAUCGCGAUC